UGGGGAAUAUUGGACAAUGGGCGAAAGCCUGAUCCAGCAACGCCGCGUGAGGGAUGACGGCCUUCGGGUUGUAAACCUCUUUCAGUAGGGACGAAGCGCAAGUGACGGUACCUACAGAAGAAGCACCGGCCAACUACGUGCCAGCAGCCGCGGUAAUACGUAGGGUGCGAGCGUUGUCCGGAAUUAUUGGGCGUAAAGGGCUCGUAGGCGGUCUGUCGCGUCGAAAGUGAAACCCAGGGCUUAACCCUGGGCCUGCUUCCGAUACGGGCAGACUAGAGGUAUGCAGGGGAGAACGGAAUUCCUGGUGUAGCGGUGAAAUGCGCAGAUAUCAGGAGGAACACCGGUGGCGAAGGCGGUUCUCUGGGCAUUACCUGACGCUGAGGAGCGAAAGUGUGGGGAGCGAACAGGAUUAGAUACCCUGGUAGUCCACACCGUAAACGUUGGGCGCUAGGUGUGGGACUCAUUCCACGAGUUCCGUGCCGCAGCUAACGCAUUAAGCGCCCCGCCUGGGGAGUACGGCCGCAAGGC
RNAcentral lists this ribosomal RNA (528 nucleotides) under uncultured bacterium. RNAcentral describes it as "bacterial SSU rRNA". It matches the Rfam family "Bacterial small subunit ribosomal RNA", at positions 355 to 894 of the family's 1533-position model. The record is from RNAcentral.